RNAcentral lists this ribosomal RNA (497 nucleotides) under uncultured bacterium. RNAcentral describes it as "partial 16S ribosomal RNA". It matches the Rfam family "Bacterial small subunit ribosomal RNA", at positions 28 to 507 of the family's 1533-position model. The record is from RNAcentral.
GAUGAACGCUGGCGGCGUGCCUAAUACAUGCAAGUCGAGCGAACAGACGAGGAGCUUGCUCCUCUGACGUUAGCGGCGGACGGGUGAGUAACACGUGGAUAACCUACCUAUAAGACUGGGAUAACUUCGGGAAACCGGAGCUAAUACCGGAUAAUAUAUUGAACCUCAUGGUUCAAUAGUGAAGGACGGUUUUGCUGUCACUGAUAGAUGGAUCCGCGCCGCAUUAGCUAGUUGGUAAGGUAACGGCUUACCAAGGCAACGAUGCGUAGCCGACCUGAGAGGGUGAUCGGCCACACUGGAACUGAGACACGGUCCAGACGCCUACGGGAGGCAGCAGUAGGGAAUCUUCCGCAAUGGGCGAAAGCUUGACGGAGCAACGCCGCGUGAGUGAUGAAGGUCUUCGGAUCGUAAAGCUCUGUUAUUAGGGAAGAACAAAUGUGUAAGUAACUAUGCACGUCUUGACGGUACCUAAUCAGAAAGCCACGGCUAACUACGUG